This 305-nucleotide ribosomal RNA is filed under the name uncultured bacterium. RNAcentral describes it as "bacterial SSU rRNA". It matches the Rfam family "Bacterial small subunit ribosomal RNA", at positions 333 to 655 of the family's 1533-position model. The record is from RNAcentral.
UGGUUCCUACGGGGGGCAGCAGUAGGGAAUCUUCCACAAUGGGGGAAACCCUGAUGCAGCGACGCCGCGUGAGUGAGGAAGUAUUUCGGUAUGUAAAGCUCUAUCAGCAGGGAAGAAAAUGACGGUACCUGACUAAGAAGCCCCGGCUAACUACGUGCCAGCAGCCGCGGUAAUACGUAGGGGGCAAGCGUUAUCCGGAUUUACUGGGUGUAAAGGGAGCGUAGACGGAAUUGCAAGUCUGAUGUGAAAAUCCGGGGCCCAACCCCGGAACUGCAUUGGAAACUGUAUUUCUAGAGUGUCGGGGG